Molecule: ribosomal RNA, 254 nt
Filed under: uncultured bacterium
Lineage: Bacteria
Description: partial 16S ribosomal RNA
Rfam family: Bacterial small subunit ribosomal RNA
Source: RNAcentral
CACGUAGGCACCAAGCGUUGUCCGGAUUUAUUGGGCGUAAAGAGCUCGUAGGCGGUUCGGUAAGUCGGGUGUGAAAACUCUGGGCUCAACCCAGAGCCGCCACCCGAUACUGCUGUGACUCGAGUGCGGUAGGGGAGCGGGGAAUUCCUGGUGUAGCGGUGAAAUGCGCAGAUAUCAGGAGGAACACCAGUGGCGAAGGCGCCGCUCUGGGCCGUGACUGACACUGAGGGACGAAAGCUAGGGGAGCGAAUGGG